CAAGCGGUGGAGCUUGUGGUUUAAUUCGAUGCAACGCGAAGAACCUUACCUGGUCUUGACAUCCACGGAAGUUUUCAUAGAUGAAAAUGUUCCUUCGGGAACCGUGAGACAGGUGCUGCAUGGCUGUCGUCCGCUCGUGUUGUGAAAUGUUGGGUUAAGUCCCGCAACGAGCGCAACCCUUAUCCUUUGUUGCCAGCGGUCCGGCCGGGAACUCAAAGGAGACUGCCAGUGAUAAACUGGAGGAAGGGGGGGAUGACGUUAAGUCAUCAUGGCCCUUACCACCAGGGCUACACACGUGCUACAAUGGCGCAUACAAAGAGAAGCGACCUCCCGAGAGCCAGCGGACAUCAUAAAGUGCGUCGCAGACCGGAUUGGAGUCUGCAACUCGACUCCAUGAAGUCGGAAUCGCUAAUCUCGUGGAUCAGAGUGCCACGGUGAAUACGUUCCCGGGUUCUUGUACACUCC
Molecule: ribosomal RNA, 465 nt
Filed under: uncultured bacterium
Lineage: Bacteria
Description: bacterial SSU rRNA
Rfam family: Bacterial small subunit ribosomal RNA
Source: RNAcentral